Molecule: unclassified non-coding RNA, 162 nt
Filed under: uncultured Ophiocordycipitaceae
Lineage: Eukaryota; Fungi; Ascomycota; Sordariomycetes; Hypocreales
Description: sequence contains ITS2
Source: RNAcentral
CAACCCUCAGGGCCCCCCAGGGGGACCUGGUGUUGGGGGCCGGCCGCCCGCGCCGCCCCCGAAAUGCAGUGGCGACCCCGCCGCAGCCUCCCCUGCGUAGUAGCACAACCUCGCACCGGAGCGCGGAGGCGGUCACGCCGUAAAACGCCCAACUUUCUCAAG